This 751-nucleotide ribosomal RNA is filed under the name uncultured bacterium. RNAcentral's name for it is "bacterial SSU rRNA". It matches the Rfam family "Bacterial small subunit ribosomal RNA", at positions 47 to 787 of the family's 1533-position model. The record is from RNAcentral.
CCUAACACAUGCAAGUCGAACGGUAACAGGAAGAAGCUUGCUUCUUUGCUGACGAGUGGCGGACGGGUGAGUAAUGUCUGGGAAACUGCCUGAUGGAGGGGGAUAACUACUGGAAACGGUAGCUAAUACCGCAUAACGUCGCAAGACCAAAGAGGGGGACCUUCGGGCCUCUUGCCAUCGGAUGUGCCCAGAUGGGAUUAGCUAGUAGGUGGGGUAACGGCUCACCUAGGCGACGAUCCCUAGCUGGUCUGAGGGGAUGACCAGCCACACUGGAACUGAGACACGGUCCAGACUCCUACGGGAGGCAGCAGUGGGGAAUAUUGCACAAUGGGCGCAAGCCUGAUGCAGCCAUGCCGCGUGUAUGAAGAGGGCCUUCGGGUUGUAAAGUACUUUCAGCGGGGAGGAAGGGAGUAAAGUUAAUACCUUUGCUCAUUGACGUUACCCGCAGAAGAAGCACCGGCUAACUCCGUGCCAGCAGCCGCGGUAAUACGGAGGGUGCAAGCGUUAAUCGGAAUUACUGGGCGUAAAGCGCACGCAGGCGGUCUGUUAAGUCAGAUGUGAAAUCCCCGGGCUCAACCUGGGAACUGCAUCUGAUACUGGCAAGCUUGAGUCUCGUAGAGGGGGGUAGAAUUCCAGGUGUAGCGGUGAAAUGCGUAGAGAUCUGGAGGAAUACCGGUGGCGAAGGCGGCCCCCUGGACGAAGACUGACGCUCAGGUGCGAAAGCGUGGGGAGCAAACAGGAUUAGAUACCC